Molecule: ribosomal RNA, 450 nt
Filed under: uncultured bacterium
Lineage: Bacteria
Description: partial 16S ribosomal RNA
Rfam family: Bacterial small subunit ribosomal RNA
Source: RNAcentral
GUGGGGAAUUUUGGACAAUGGGGGCAACCCUGAUCCAGCAAUGCCGCGUGCAGGAAGAAGGCCUUCGGGUUGUAAACUGCUUUUGUACGGAACGAAACGGUCUGGGUUAAUACCCUGGGCUAAUGACGGUACCGUAAGAAUAAGCACCGGCUAACUACGUGCCAGCAGCCGCGGUAAUACGUAGGGUGCGAGCGUUAAUCGGAAUUACUGGGCGUAAAGCGUGCGCAGGCGGUUUUGUAAGACAGGCGUGAAAUCCCCGGGCUCAACCUGGGAAUGGCGCUUGUGACUGCAAAGCUGGAGUGCGGCAGAGGGGGAUGGAAUUCCGCGUGUAGCAGUGAAAUGCGUAGAUAUGCGGAGGAACACCGAUGGCGAAGGCAAUCCCCUGGGCCUGCACUGACGCUCAUGCACGAAAGCGUGGGGAGCAAACAGGAUUAGAAACCCGAGUAGUCC